UGCUGGAUAGCUCAGUCGGUAGAGUAUGAGACUCUUAAUCUCAGGGUUGUGGGUUCAAGCCCCAUGUUGGGCAA
This is a non-coding RNA of Podarcis lilfordi (Lilford's wall lizard), 74 nucleotides long. NCBI's taxonomy places the organism in Eukaryota, Metazoa, Chordata, Lepidosauria, Squamata, Lacertidae. The record is from the annotation of a GenBank genome assembly.